CACGCUCGAGAAGACCUUGAAAGGAGUCCUUUGGCCUACUUUUUGGAGCAGUCCUACCUCAGCUCAUCACAGGAAAAGAAUGAUGAACUUGAAAUCCUGCUGUAUGUCCUUGGCACUCCACAUAAUAAAGAAAGUUCCUUCCCAGUUCAUCUGAAACAAUCUUACCAUCCUUCGGACUCCACAUACCUCCAGCUUGUCUGACCGGAGUGGUGGAUCCUUGAAGUCUUCCUCGGCUCCUGUGGGUGGACAAUGACCCUGCCUGUCUGACUCGUGGUCACCAUGGUGACCUCUCCAGGUGGGGGCUGGUCACAUUAAAUAUGAUAGGACCAAAGUAGAAGGCACCAGUGACCAGAUGCAUCAGGAACAAAGAGGGAGGAAAGCAGGGUCCUGAAAAUAGAAAUCACAUCAAAAAAUAGAUGACGAGUUGAUAAUGCCUUGAGGCCUUUGUUCAGGAACACUCUGGCACUAUAAAGGGAAGAAUGACAGCACAGUAUUCUUCUGUGAAGCAUGAGCUGGUUUUUCUUCAAGAGUUCUUCCCAAAGAAGGCCUUGUGGGUUGUGGCUAACUCUGUUUUCCAUUUUUAUCUAGAUUUGUUCUUUAACGCGAAUGUUAUUCUUUUUCCAAGGAUUGCUGUAUCAUCACAUUAAGAAUAAGAUAAACAAACUUGACAAAAAUUCACUGGAAACAAUAAGUGUGGUAAUUGCAUAUU
Lontra canadensis (Northern American river otter) is the source of this 709-nucleotide long non-coding RNA. RefSeq lists it as uncharacterized. NCBI's taxonomy places the organism in Eukaryota, Metazoa, Chordata, Mammalia, Carnivora, Mustelidae. The record is from RefSeq and is a predicted model, not a curated record. The transcript is spliced from 3 exons.